CAAGUUGUAUCCUAAGAGGAAUUGUUAUUUACAUUAAUAAAUUUAGUUGUGCAAUUCAACUCGACUUGA
This 69-nucleotide transfer RNA is filed under the name Sycanus falleni. Its description in RNAcentral is "tRNA-Val". The record is from RNAcentral. Lineage: Eukaryota; Metazoa; Arthropoda; Insecta; Hemiptera; Reduviidae.